UCGCCUGUUUUACAAAAACAUAGUUUAAAGGAAAUAAUUUUAAAUGAAUCCUGCCCAGUGAAUAAUUUUAAAUGGCCGCAGUACCUUGACUGUGCUAAGGUAGCAUAAUCAAUUGGCUUUUAAUUAGAGUCUGGAAUGAAUGGAAGAAUGAAUUAAAGCUGUCUUAAAUUUAUUUUUAUAAAAUUAUUUAUAAGGUGAAAAUACCUUAAUUUUUAGAAAAAAGACGAGAAGACCCUUAGAGUUUUUAAUAUAAAAAUAAUUAAUAAUUUUAAUUUUUUUGUUGGGGCGACAAGUAAACAUUUUAAACUUUACGUUUUUAUAUUACGAUUUUAUUAAAAUAAAUAAAACUACCUUAGGGAUAACAGCAUUAUUUAUUAAUAAGAUUGUGACCUCGAUGUUGGACUAGGAACUUUAUGGCUAGCCGUCAAAAAAGAUUUGUUCUGUUCGAACAAUACUAUCCUACAUGAUCUGAGUUCAGACCGGACGA
Molecule: ribosomal RNA, 487 nt
Filed under: Helisoma anceps
Lineage: Eukaryota; Metazoa; Mollusca; Gastropoda; Planorbidae
Description: partial 16S ribosomal RNA
Rfam family: Bacterial large subunit ribosomal RNA
Source: RNAcentral